AAAGAAAAACAAUUAUCUGUUGGCAUUUCCAGUUUAAAUAUUUAUAGUUUUUUGUUUGGGGGAGUGCAUAACUUGUUUGUCCCUUAACCCUUCAUAACGUGCAAGCCAAUGAAAAGAUACACGGCACAGAAUAAAAAUACUGUAAUGAUUUUUAAAAGCUAAAAAAACCCCAUAGUCAUGACAACUAUUAUAGGAUUGGGAAAACUAUACUUUGAUCCAGUUAAUGCUAAAAAUCAACAAGAUGUUUGUUCCUGGGUUGGCUGUUGAGACAGCAGGCUGAAGAUGAGUAUUAAGGCCUAAUCUUAUCUUGAAGACAUCAGACCUCCAGUUAAAAGUUCAAAACUAUGCUGCUCUAGGGUUUUUUUCUUUUUGAGAAUGAAUUAGACAAACUAUUAAAAGUCUUCAUUCACAGAUGAACAACUUUCCGUGCCCAUCAGUGCUUGCCCUUCAGAAUGACAUUAGUCUCCUUUCUUUGGUUCAUCAAACAUUAAAAACAAGUGGCAGCUGCCAAGCUUUCAUCUCAUCUGACAGAUUCUGCAAUCUGUACUUUUUUCUGAGGGUUCAAUCUAAUGCCUUUUGAAGAUAGAUCCUUCACAGACAAUGCAACAUUUACAAUUUAAUGUAGGAUAUAUGGUGUUCUUUUUCUCUCCCCAUGAGAAAGAGAACAUUAGUUAUCCAAAUCAUCUGGAAUGCUUUUGAAAAAUGAUUUCAGGUUCAGCUGUUCUUUGAGAGCAUCUGCAGCUCUAAUUUUGGUUAUAUUUUCUGUGUUUUCUCACAUACAGUGAUAUAAUAAAACUUCUGUAUUGAAGACAGAACUUGCCUUUUUUUUUAAAAAGCCCCCUAUUUUAAAAAGUCCUUAAAUGCUCAUUAUUAAAUUGACUUCUGAGAUGUUAGAAUUCAUACAGCCAUGUAUGUAACACAAGAUUUUUGUGUGUGCAUAAAGCAAACUGCAGUCAUUGAACUAAUGAAAGCAGAAAAAUCUUUAGUCUUGUUGAUGCUCAAAAAGUACAUAAUUUAGCUUCAAGCAAAUGCUUACAAAUUCCUGAACGUAAUAGAAAAUGCAGCUAAUCAUUGGAUGAAGCUGGGUUAACUUGAGCUGAAAUGCCUAAAACAGCAAUCUCUCAUUCUGUGAAAGAAAAAAAAGACAAUGGCACUGAUUUGUAAUUAGUGAUCAAGGAAUGCUGCAGUUUGACCUUGUUAAGGUAGUGUCAUUUCAAUGGGAUAGACUAAUUUUCCUGGUUUUUUUCUAGUUAAGAGUAUCUCAAAUUCUUAAAUGGAACUUGCGUCAUAUUUCUGAAGAAAAGCUCCCCCUUCCCCUUCCUGAAAUAAGAGGUGUUGGCUUUGGCUUUAUGGCGUUUUUGUGCUCACUACUCAAAUACCUCUGACUGUGCUGUAAUUAACUGAAUAGUACAUUAAAUAUUAUCACUGAUAGUGGUAAGGAAAUUAGGCAGUUUAAAUCCACAUUAUUGUGCCAUAGAGCUAGAACAUACCAGUACUUGAAAAUUUAAUUUUUGAUUACUUCAUGCUGAAAAAAUAAUAAAAAAAUCUGAUAGUUUGUUGUUCAUAAAUAAUUUAAUGUGAAGAUUAAUUCUAUGAGUUUGCAUGUAGGUGUGAUGACUGUUCUUGCUUAAGCUGUUCAGUUCCAUGUUUCACUGCAGGUGUUACUAGAGAAAGCAUGGUAAUCCUCUCCUCAUGUCUUGGGCAGUGGGCAGUUUUGGAGCUUUCAGAUGCAGACAUUUUCAAUAACUGUUAGAAUGAUACUUUGCUGUCCUAGAGAGUCAGUGCAAAACAGUUUGUUAUAUUAAGUGCAUGUAGAUAAAACUUAUGUAGUUAAGUUUGAUUUAAAAUAUCUAGAAAAUGUCAUUUUCUUCUACUAUAUUCUAAAAGUACAGCAUAUACCAACUUGAUUCAGUAAAACAAAAUGAUAAGCUAAAUUGCCAAGUAAAGUGCAAAAUGAAGGAGGUAGCUCUUUGUGAAACAAUGUAUCAAGCUCGAGGACUACUUUAGAUUUUUAACAUACAAAUAAUACAGAAAGUUAGUCCACAGAACCAGAAAUAAAUUCAAGGAUGGUAUGCCUUAAAUCUUCUGAAAGACCUGAACUGUGUUACUGGCACAGUUUAUCCCAUCUGGUAUGCAGUGACUUUCCCCAUGUCCCCCACCUACGGGUUAGUGUUGGCAUGUAUGUGUCUGUCUGUCCUCCCCCACCUCACAGCCCUAGGCACAGUGAUUCUGUGAACUGCUCACCAUAUUGUUUAUACUGCUUUGCACUGGAAAUUGUAAAGUGCUGCCUUACAGUUAGUAAGGGAUUACUAUGUAGCAGGAAAGUAGACUUGCGAAAAAUUUGGGAGUGAAAGAUCCCCAGAAAAGAGAAAACAAGUCACCUGAAGGUUUUUCUGAAUGCAGCUUUUUUUUUCUCUCAUGAGAUGUUUGGUGGGUUCCAGAGAUUAGAGCCCUUAGUGUAAUUCAACAACAUGCUGUUUGCAGAAUCAGAAAGGGCACGUGGGGAGUGAAUGGAACAGGCUGCCUGCCCCUUCUUCACUGCCCUAUAGUGACUGCAUUAGUAGGAUGUCCCACUGCUUUUUUUCUGCCAUAUGAUCCUCUGCAGAUAGACUGCACAGCCAAGUAAGACAACAUUAUUUUGAAAUGUAUUGCAGUUUCCCUCUAGGUCUAGAUGACUUCCUGUUCUUUUCAAAUAUUCCAAUGAGAUGUUAUGAGAACAUUAACAUCUGAAGUUAUAACUAAGAGAGAGGUCUAGGUAAACUUGCAAGUUAGUCAAAAUGGAGUUCCACUCCAUCUCUGGGAGAAAUCAAUGUACAUACACUCAGUUUCCUGUUGCUUUGGGGUUUUUUUUUUCACAUUUUCUAAAGUAGCUUGAACACGAAAUUUGCUUGUUUGAUAGAGAAGACUGGUGGGUUACUCAGAGUCCAGGUUGUAUUUCAUGCACUGAAUCACUGGGUUCUUUUAUCUUUUCAGAUGACUUAACUCACUUUCAACAGAAUAGCUCGACUGUAAUAAUUGAUCCUUUCUGUGUUGCGAAGGUGUAAAGUGUAUUUCCUCAUAUUUGGAUUAUGUACGUUCCUGUGUAACCUGCUCUAGGUGACCCUGUCUUGGCAGGGGAGUUGGACUUCAUGAUCUCCAGAGAUCCCUUCCAACCCUAACGAUUCUGUGAUUCUGAAAUAUUCAUGAAUACCACAAGAUUUGCAUUUAAGUGAAUAUUAAAUGUUGCUAAUCUUUCCCAAGACUUAACUAUAGUAAUUUUAUUAUGCAAGAUAAAAUUGAUAUCACAUACUGAAAUGUGAGCACACAUACUUUGAUAUCCUUUAUCUUCUGUUUCUCAAAAUUAUCAAUAGUUUCCUCUAAUUGCCGCGUUGUUCGAGUAGCAUCCAGUGUCGCUCUCUGCAGUUCACUUUCAGCCUGGUAAAGUAACACAGAGGUGAAAUUAGUCUUGUAUUUGAUACAAAGCUAUUUGCUCAAUUGCCAUGAAAACACUGAAGUGUGGGUUUUCAAAACACUACAUAUCUGUGUUACAGUAUUUGUAAAUCUGUCGCUUAAUAAACAUAUAAAGAUGCCUCCUA
This is a long non-coding RNA of Corapipo altera (White-ruffed manakin), 3575 nucleotides long. RefSeq lists it as uncharacterized. The transcript has 2 exons. The record is from RefSeq and is a predicted model, not a curated record. Lineage: Eukaryota; Metazoa; Chordata; Aves; Passeriformes; Pipridae.